GUUCUGUAAGCCUGUGAAGGUGUGUCGUGAGGCAUGCUGGAGGUAUCAGAAGUGCGAAUGCUGACAUAAGUAACGAUAAAGCGGGUGAAAAGCCCGCUCGCCGGAAGACCAAGGGUUCCUGUCCAACGUUAAUCGGGGCAGGGUGAGUCGACCCCUAAGGCGAGGCCGAAAGGCGUAGUCGAUGGGAAACGGGUUAAUAUUCCCGUACUUGGUGUUACUGCGAAGGGGGGACGGAGAAGGCUAUGUUGGCCGGGCGACGGUUGUCCCGGUUUAAGCGUGUAGGUGUGUGUUCCAGGUAAAUCCGGUUCACUUUAACACUGAGGCGUGACGACGAGGCACUACGGUGCUGAAGCAACAAAUGCCCUGCUUCCAGGAAAAGCCUCUAAGCAUCAGGUAACAUCAAAUCGUACCCCAAACCGACACAGGUGGUCAGGUAGAGAAUACCAAGGCGCUUGAGAGAACUCGGGUGAAGGAACUAGGCAAAAUGGUGCCGUAACUUCGGGAGAAGGCACGCUGACACGUAGGUGAAGUGAUUUACUCAUGGAGCUGAAGUCAGUCGAAGAUACCAGCUGGCUGCAACUGUUUAUUAAAAACACAGCACUGUGCAAACACGAAAGUGGACGUAUACGGUGUGACGCCUGCCCGGUGCCGGAAGGUUAAUUGAUGGGGUCAGCGCAAGCGAAGCUCCUGAUCGAAGCCCCGGUAAACGGCGGCCGUAACUAUAACGGUCCUAAGGUAGCGAAAUUCCUUGUCGGGUAAGUUCCGACCUGCACGAAUGGCGUAAUGAUGGCCAGGCUGUCUCCACCCGAGACUCAGUGAAAUUGAACUCGCUGUGAAGAUGCAGUGUACCCGCGGCAAGACGGAAAGACCCCGUGAACCUUUACUAUAGCUUGACACUGAACAUUGAGCCUUGAUGUGUAG
This 921-nucleotide ribosomal RNA is filed under the name Salmonella enterica. Its description in RNAcentral is "partial 23S ribosomal RNA". It matches the Rfam family "Bacterial large subunit ribosomal RNA", at positions 1238 to 2141 of the family's 2925-position model. Lineage: Bacteria; Pseudomonadati; Pseudomonadota; Gammaproteobacteria; Enterobacterales; Enterobacteriaceae. RNAcentral also lists the same sequence under 1 other name. The record is from RNAcentral.